Molecule: non-coding RNA, 191 nt
Filed under: Evansella cellulosilytica
Lineage: Bacteria; Bacillati; Bacillota; Bacilli; Caryophanales; Bacillaceae
Also listed under: 1 other name
Description: Bacillus cellulosilyticus Lysine sequence
Rfam family: Lysine riboswitch aptamer
About the family: Riboswitches are metabolite binding domains within certain messenger RNAs that serve as precision sensors for their corresponding targets.
Source: RNAcentral
AGUGAGUUUAGAGGUGCAAAAACCAUUAGUACACUUUUAGAGGAUGAUGAGAUCCUAUGAAAAAUGUGGAAAGGGGAAUUUGCCGAAGCGGCAUACUACUCACAAGUAUGUUGCUGGUUCUGUCAUUGAAUAAGUGCAGGACUGUCAUAUAGUUCAUUUUUAAUGACACUAUAUGGAGGGCUAUCUCACGC